GACAGAGGGGGCAAGCGUUGUCCGGAGUAACUGGGCGUAAAGCGCCCGCAGGUGGUCGGGCAAGUGCGCUGUGAAAGCCCGCGGCUUAACCGCGGGAGGCCAGUGCAGACUGCACGACUGGAGCGAUGCAGAGGGUGGUGGAAUUGCCGGUGUAGUGGUGAAAUGCGUAGAGAUCGGCAGGAACACCAAGGGGGAAGCCAGCCACCUGGGCAUCGGCUGACACUGAGGGGCGACAGCGUGGGGAGCCAACUGG
Molecule: ribosomal RNA, 253 nt
Filed under: uncultured bacterium
Lineage: Bacteria
Description: partial 16S ribosomal RNA
Rfam family: Bacterial small subunit ribosomal RNA
Source: RNAcentral